GACGAACGCUGGCGGCGUGCUUAACACAUGCAAGUCGAACGGAAAGAGAUGAAAGAGCUUGCUCUUUUAUUAAUUUCAGUGGCAAACGGGUGGGUAACACGUAAACAACCUGCCUUAAGGAUGGGGAUAACAGACGGAAACGACUGCUAAUACCGAAUAUGUUCUAAGCAUCGCAUGGUGCAUAGAAGAAAGGGUGGCCUCUACAAGAAAGCUAUCGCCUUAAGAGGGGUUUGCGACUGAUUAGGUAGUUGGUGAGGUAACGGCUCACCAAGCCGACGAUCAGUAGCCGGUCUGAGAGGAUGAACGGCCACACUGGAACUGAGACACGGUCCAGACUCCUACGGGAGGCAGCAGUGGGGAAUCUUCCGCAAUGGACGAAAGUCUGACGGAGCAACGCCGCGUGAACGAAGAAGGUCUUCGGAUUGUAAAGUUCUGUGAUUCGGGACGAAAGGGUUUGUGGUGAAUAAUCAUAGACAUUGACGGUACCGAAAAAGCAAGCCACGGCUA
Molecule: ribosomal RNA, 507 nt
Filed under: Dialister pneumosintes
Lineage: Bacteria; Bacillati; Bacillota; Negativicutes; Veillonellales; Veillonellaceae
Description: bacterial SSU rRNA
Rfam family: Bacterial small subunit ribosomal RNA
Source: RNAcentral